RNAcentral lists this ribosomal RNA (393 nucleotides) under Triticum aestivum (bread wheat). RNAcentral's name for it is "partial small subunit ribosomal RNA". Lineage: Eukaryota; Viridiplantae; Streptophyta; Magnoliopsida; Poales; Poaceae. The record is from RNAcentral.
AUGAAGGAACUAGGUCUUCGCGAGGAGGAUCUAGAUGACGUGGUGUUUGAUGAAAAAGAAGCACCGGUAGAGGCGGCGCGGUGGAUUGCUCUCGCUAGGGUUCACUCGCCAAAGACCUAUAGCCAAUAUUGGUUUUUCAAAAACAUGAGGGCAGCUUGGGAUCUUGCUCAGGAGGUGCAGUUCAAGCCUUUGGAAGAUAAUCUAUACACGGUGCAGUUCUCUUGCUUGGGGGAUUGGGGGAGAGUCACACGUGAUGGUCCAUGGCACUUUCGAGGGGACGUUGUUAUUAUCAAACCAUAUGAUGGAUUGGCUAAACCAUCAACGGUUUUGCUGGACACAAUUGAGAUUUGGUUGCAGAUCCAUGAUGUACCACCCUUAUACGCGGGCCAAUAG